AUUGAACGCUGGCGGCAGGCCUAACACAUGCAAGUCGAGCGGAUGAAGGGAGCUUGCUCCUGGAUUCAGCGGCGGACGGGUGAGUAAUGCCUAGGAAUCUGCCUGGUAGUGGGGGAUAACGUCCGGAAACGGGCGCUAAUACCGCAUACGUCCUGAGGGAGAAAGUGGGGGAUCUUCGGACCUCACGCUAUCAGAUGAGCCUAGGUCGGAUUAGCUAGUUGGUGGGGUAAAGGCCUACCAAGGCGGCGAUCCGUAACUGGUCUGAGAGGAUGAUCAGUCACACUGGAACUGGGACACGGUCCAGACUCCUACGGGAGGCAGCAGUGGGGAAUAUUGGACAAUGGGCGAAAGCCUGAUCCAGCCAUGCCGCGUGUGUGAAGAAGGUCUUCGGAUUGUAAAGCACUUUAAGUUGGGAGGAGGGGCAGUAAGUUAAUACCUUGCUGUUUUGACGUUACCAACAGAAUAAGCACCGGCUAACUUCGUG
Molecule: ribosomal RNA, 484 nt
Filed under: uncultured bacterium
Lineage: Bacteria
Description: partial 16S ribosomal RNA
Rfam family: Bacterial small subunit ribosomal RNA
Source: RNAcentral